RNAcentral lists this microRNA precursor (148 nucleotides) under Tupaia belangeri (northern tree shrew). RNAcentral's name for it is "miRNA (ENSTBEG00000021061.1)". Lineage: Eukaryota; Metazoa; Chordata; Mammalia; Scandentia; Tupaiidae. The record is from RNAcentral.
CAGGAUACCCAGUUCAAUUCAAAUUUCAGGUAAAGAACAAAUAAAAACUUCAGUAUAAGGAUAUUCCAUGCAACCUUUGGGACAUACUGAUACUAAAAAUGAUCUGGAUACUUAAAAUUUCAAAUUCAAAUUUCCUUGGGUGUCUUGU